This 308-nucleotide unclassified non-coding RNA is filed under the name Hevea brasiliensis (rubber tree). The record is from RNAcentral. Lineage: Eukaryota; Viridiplantae; Streptophyta; Magnoliopsida; Malpighiales; Euphorbiaceae.
GUUUUCAAAAACUAGGAUGUUGAGCUUGUUUUGUCUAGCAGCCGAAAGGGGUUGAGUUGGCACAAGGCAACUAUGCCUGGGAUACUCCGCGUAAGGAAAUUGUCAGGGCUUGCUUUUGUCCAUUGUAAUGGGCAUUAUGUUGCUUCAACGGCCGAAGGCUCGGUUACGUGGUUGCUUCACUGCUUGGGCAGACAUUUCUAAAAUUAUUUGCCCUUUAUUUUAUUGUUCAGUGGUCUAAUCAUAAAAUUAUUAGAUCAUAAGAGAGAGUAAUUAUUAAAGGUUAAUGUCCUUCUAAAUUUGAUUUUUGA